This is an RNA transcript of Calidris pugnax (ruff), 2917 nucleotides long. It is a transcript of the gene named DnaJ heat shock protein family (Hsp40) member B12, with no coding region annotated. NCBI's taxonomy places the organism in Eukaryota, Metazoa, Chordata, Aves, Charadriiformes, Scolopacidae. The transcript is spliced from 10 exons. The record is from RefSeq and is a predicted model, not a curated record.
UGUUCCUUGGGUGAAAAGUUCUGCUUGAAUCACUCAACAAGAAUGAGCAAUCAGCCAAUGGCCAGUCCAGAGAGUCCACAAACCCCCAGUUCAAGAAAAUGAGCGGAGACUUCCCAUCGGCCAACGGAGAAGCUGGUGGGGAGGCCCCCAAGGGCUACACUCAGGACCAGGUGGAUGCAGUGAAGAGGGUAAAGCGAUGCAAAGAUUACUAUGAAAUUCUGGGAGUAAACAGAGAAGCUUCUGAUGAGGACCUGAAAAAGGCUUACAGGAAACUUGCACUGAAAUUUCACCCAGAUAAGAACCACGCACCAGGGGCUACAGAGGCCUUUAAAGCCAUUGGUAACGCGUACGCGGUAUUGAGCAACCCGGAGAAGAGGAAGCAAUAUGACCAGUUCGGAGACGAGAAACUCAACCCUGCUCGGCACGGACACAGUCACUCGGACUUCCACCGCGGGUUUGAGGCAGACAUCUCCCCCGAGGACCUCUUCAACAUGUUUUUUGGUGGUGGUUUUCCUUCUAGUAACGUUCACGUGUACAGCAACGGCAGGAUGCGAUACACCUACCAUCAGAGGCAGGACAGGAGAGAACAUCAGGGUGAUGGUGGCCUUGGGUUGUUUGUCCAGCUGAUGCCUAUCCUCAUCCUGAUCAUUGUGUCUGCUCUCAGCCAGAUGAUGGUCUCCAGCCCACCCUACAGUUUGAGCCAGAGGCCGUCUGUGGGUCACAUACACAGGAGAGUGACAGAGCACUUAAGAGUCACCUAUUACGUAGCUGAGAACUUUGCAGAUGAAUACACGGGCACAAACCUGAAAAAUGUGGAAAGGAGCGUGGAGGACGACUACAUCGCAAACCUUCGAAAUAACUGCUGGAAAGAGAAGCAGCAGAAGGAAGGCUUGUUGUACCGGGCGCGCUACUUCGGAGACUCGGAUCUGUACCAGCGAGCACAGAAGAUGGGCACCCCCAGCUGUAGCAGACUGUCAGACGUUCAAGCCUCUCUGCAUGGAUAGUCACCGCCUGCCCGCUCAGCAGAGGUCUAAACUCCUUGAAAUGCCUGAAGACUUUUGGUGAAGUGCACUGAGCCGAGGACAGGAAAUCCAGCUGCUCCUUCCCUUCCGACACCGCUAGCGUGCGACAGUCUUGUUGCUCCUGAGAUCCCACAGCCCCGAGAACAAAACGUGUAGAGUGUAAAAAAAUAAAAAUAUAACACACAAACUUCACUGCAGAAGCCAUGAAGCAGGAGACCCUUCGCGACCGCUCCGCUCGCUGCCGACGGAGAGAGAAACCGGACGAUUUGGUGAUAACAGAAAACUUUUUAAAAGAAAAAAAAAAAAAAGAAAAAAGAAAAGAUAAUCUAUUUAGAAUUAAUUUAUAGCUGUAUAUAUGUUGUACUUUUAAACUAUGCAGGGGUUGGAUGAUUAAAUUAUUUUGUUUUCUGCCCGGUUUGGUAAACGGGGCAGGAGGAAGCCUCUUCCCAGGGUGUCUUGUUCUGCAGCGCUUUCCUGCCUGACACCACUAAAACCAGAAUCACUUGGCAGUUCCUGUACUUUUGCUUUCUGGAGGAUGGUGGAAUUCUGCGGCUCGGGAUGGUGAUACACCCGCCUUUUCGGGUUUUAAUAAAAAGUAAUUCCAAAUCUGGAGGGGGUUAACAAAGAAAUUGGGGAAACUGGCCGGAUUCGUGGCGUGGUUUUGCAGCGUUGGCAGAAGCUGUUGGGGUAGAGGGGGGUGUCAGCUGAGCCCCGGCGUCGCGCUCGGUGACGGGAAGGAUUGUCCUGGAUGGGUUUUGCUCGUCGGUUGUUGGGUUGAUUUGUGCUGGUCAAGUCUUUUUUUGCAGAGUCUGCUGGAAUUCUGCCUCGUCAUCAGCCCGCGGCGUUGGGGCUGUAAAAGAGGGCUUUGCCACCAGCCUCUCUCCUUUUGGUGGGGCUUUUCGUGUGUGUGUCCUCCACUUGGGGUUCCUCACCCACCAGCAUUCCCGUCUGCAACGUGGCCGUGGCCCUGACACCCUGUCUCUGAGGAGACCUGUCAGAUAGUGCUAAUUCGUAAGAAAAGGAGCUUUUUCUUGCUUCUGUUGAAGGAAGUUUUGCUGAUGGAGAUGGGGGGGUGAAACUGCUCUGUCCUCAGAGCUCUGCAGCGCAUCUCUCUCCAUCGCUGUUGGGCAGGACCGGCGUUAGGGCGUCAGGAGGGCAUUCCAGGUUAGGAACUCUCUCUUGGAAGCCAAACUGGUAUGAGCAGAGCUACCUCCUGUGGAAUAAACUGGAUUAGUAAUUUUUUUUUUUUUCUUUUUUUUGGUACCCUGCAGUUCAUUUUUAUCUAAAGCCGUUUCCAAUGAGAACUGCCCCGUGACACCCUCGGGGGAGCCAACCCAAACGGCGGCUCCCGGGUGGGGUGGCAGGGGCUGGAGGAGGUGAGAGAUAAGGUGGGUUUAUAUCUUUGUUGCUAGGGAUCCAUGUGGCUUUAUGUUCAGCUUUUUAUUUAUUUGGCAAAAUAGCAGCCCCUCCCACCCCCCCCAGUUAACUCCAAGCCUUACUGUCCCGCACCCACUACGACUUGCACCUGAUUUUAAGGUUGGGGAUUUUUUUUUUGGUGUUUUUUCUUUUAAAAUGAUCCCUCCACUGUUGGAAAAAAUUGAGUGGAAGUAUGGCAUUUGGAAAUAGCUCUUAAUAGAGGCACAGGAGAAGAGAUGGUGGGGAGGGGAUGGUCACAAAAGAUACUGAGUGUCCUGCACGACGGCAUUGCUCACCCACCAAAACCUUUGGAUUUUUUUUCUUUUAUUUUAUUUUUUUUUCUUUUUCCGAGUAGAUACCCGUGGAUAAUAAGGAGCGAGAAGGCGUAGAUCCUAAGGGAUGCUCACAGAGGCUGUAUCUCUCGAUUUAGAACGAAUUAUACGACUGUACAUCUAUAAAUAAAUGUUUAUAACGUGAAA